RNAcentral lists this ribosomal RNA (500 nucleotides) under uncultured bacterium. RNAcentral describes it as "bacterial SSU rRNA". It matches the Rfam family "Bacterial small subunit ribosomal RNA", at positions 542 to 1053 of the family's 1533-position model. The record is from RNAcentral.
UAUCCGGAAUGAUUGGGCGUAAAGGGUGCGUAGGUGGCACGUUAAGUCUGGAGUAAAAGGGAGCGGCUCAACCGCUGUUGGCUCUGGAAACUGGCGAGCUAGAGUGCAGGAGAGGGCGAUGGAAUUCCAUGUGUAGCGGUAAAAUGCGUAGAUAUAUGGAGGAACACCGGUGGCGAAGGCGGUCGCCUGGCCUGCAACUGACACUGAAGCACGAAAGCGUGGGGAGCAAAUAGGAUUAGAUACCCUAGUAGUCCACGCCGUAAACGAUGAGAACUAAGUGUUGGGGAGACUCAGUGCUGCAGUUAACGCAAUAAGUUCUCCGCCUGGGGAGUAUGCACGCAAGUGUGAAACUCAAAGGAAUUGACGGGGGCCCGCACAAGCGGUGGAGUAUGUGGUUUAAUUCGAAGCAACGCGAAGAACCUUACCAGGUCUUGACAUCCCUUGCGAAGUCAUGGAGACAUGAUGGAGGUUAUCAAGGAGACAGGUGGUGCAUGGUUGUC